GAAUUAAUCAUGAACUUGCCUAAUAUUCCAACAAUCCAAAAACCUAAUUGUAGGCAAUUUCCUGAGUUAACUAUGGCUGGAUUUGCUGAUGCACUGAGGCCGGAUAAGUUUACCGGUGUGCACUUUAAGAGGUGGCAGGUGAAGACCACGCUCUGGCUUACUGCUCUGAAAGUUUUCCACGCUAGUGUUGGUGCUCCAGAGGGAAUAACCGACGAAGAUCGGAGAAAAUUCCAGGAAGCCAAUACUAUGUUUGUGGGAUGCAUUCUGAGUGUUCUUGCUGACCGUCUGUGUGAUGUGUACAUGCACAUAAACGACGGAAAAAUUCUGUGGGAUGCACUGAAUGCAAAAUUCGAUGCAACAGAUGCAGGCAGUGAACUGUACAUCAUGGAGAGUUUUCAUGACUACAAGAUGGUGAAUAACCGUUCUGUGGUUGAACAAGCUCAUGAGAUACAGUGCAUUGUGAAGGAACUUGAACUCCUUAAAUGUGUUCUACCCGACAAAUUCGUGGCUGGGUGCAUGAUUGCAAAGUUGCCUCCUUCAUGGAGGAAUUUCGCCACAACUCUGAAGCAUAAGAGACAGGAGAUAUCAGUUGAAAAUCUGAUUGCAUCUCUUGAUGUUGAAGAAAAAGCUCGGGCUAAAGAUACCACUGAAAAAGGAGGUGAGGUUCAGCCUACUGCUAACAUGGUGCAGAGGUACCCACAGAACAAGAACAAAGGGAAGAACAAACCUAUUUUCAACAAGCCUACCAAGACUACUACUUUCAAGAAGAAGAAGUUCAACAAGGCUGAGCUAGAGUGCUACGCCUGUGGGAAGCCUGGACACUUUUCCAAGGAAUGCCCUGAACGUGCAGACCGCAGAGGGAAAACAAGCUCCAAGACUGUCAACAUGGUGACCGCUAGCAAUACUGAUGGCGCAAGGGAUUCUUCCGUCCUAAUGGGGAAUGGGUCACAUGCUUCUGUUCGUGGCAUUGGCACAGUGGAUCUGAAGUUUACUUCGGGAAAGAUCGUGCAACUAAGGAACGUGCAGCAUGUCCCUACUAUGAACAAGAAUCUAGUUAGCGACUCCCUUCUAUGUCGAGAUGGAUUUAAGGUAGUUUUAGAGUCCAAUAAAGUAAUCGUGUCAAGAUUUGGACAAUUUAUAGGAAAAGGCUAUGAGUGCGGAGGCUUGUUCCGCUUUUCUCUUUCAGAUUUUUGCAAUAAGUCAAUAAACCAAAUUUGUGCUAGUGUUAAUGAUGAUGCAAGUAUUUGGCACUCUCGUUUA
RNAcentral lists this ribosomal RNA (1260 nucleotides) under Triticum aestivum (bread wheat). Its description in RNAcentral is "partial small subunit ribosomal RNA". The record is from RNAcentral. Lineage: Eukaryota; Viridiplantae; Streptophyta; Magnoliopsida; Poales; Poaceae.